AGGGGAAGACCACACUUGGACGUCGGCUCCUGGGGCACUUCCUUGAUUCCCCUGCACUCCUCAGCGGGAUGGGAGAGGCGGAGGUUCCAGGAGGGAGCCUUCCAGAGUCGGUGCAGGGUUGACAGGAGACGUUUGUUUUACUUUUCCUGAACUUUCGAUCACCAGCUUAUUUGGUCUUGAUGUUGUAGGGUUGGUAAAGACAGCAGUGGAGUGAUAUCGGACACCGAGCUUAGCAAGCUGUCUCCAAUGGUGAAACCGCACUGAGAAGGUAUUUGUGGCCUGUUCGCUGAUUCAUUGAUUAGACUUCUUGGCACAGGAGAGCUGCUAAAAAUUACUGCGGUGAACAGGUAUGAAGAAGAAGGCUGUUCUCUGCCCUUCUUUUUGCAAUAAAAUGUUACAAACUAUCUUGAGUUUGAUCCCUU
Long non-coding RNA from Nomascus leucogenys (northern white-cheeked gibbon), 422 nucleotides. RefSeq lists it as uncharacterized. The transcript has 2 exons. The record is from RefSeq and is a predicted model, not a curated record. NCBI's taxonomy places the organism in Eukaryota, Metazoa, Chordata, Mammalia, Primates, Hylobatidae.